AGUGACAGUGAUGAGCCUACAGACCUGUAAUGAUUUGUGGAAAUGAUCACAGAUCUAUUGAACAUCUAAGGGACUGAGUUUUA
Small nucleolar RNA from Cannabis sativa, 83 nucleotides. RefSeq annotates it as small nucleolar RNA SNORD25. NCBI's taxonomy places the organism in Eukaryota, Viridiplantae, Streptophyta, Magnoliopsida, Rosales, Cannabaceae. The record is from RefSeq and is a predicted model, not a curated record. The transcript has a single exon.